CCGCCAGAGUANUACGAGCCUCAGCUUAAAACUCAAAGGACUUGGCGGUGCCCUAAACCCCACCAGAGGAGCCUGUUCUAUAAUCGAUAAUCCACGCAAUACCUCACCAUCUUUAGCUUUAUCAGCUUAUAUACCACCGUCAUCAGUUAACCUUGUAAAUGAGAUAUAGUUAGCAAUAAUGAUUUAAUCAAAUACGUCAGGUCAAGGUGUAGCACAUAAGAUGGAAAGAUAUGGGCUACAUUUUCUUGAUCAAGAAUAUUACGAAUAUUAUUAUGAAAACAAUAAUUUAAGGUGGAUUUGGCAGUAAGAAGGUAUAAUAAUGCCUUUCUUAAGCCGGCCCUGCGGCGCGC
RNAcentral lists this ribosomal RNA (350 nucleotides) under Geotrypetes seraphini (Gabon caecilian). RNAcentral's name for it is "partial 12S ribosomal RNA". It matches the Rfam family "Bacterial small subunit ribosomal RNA", at positions 869 to 1384 of the family's 1533-position model. Lineage: Eukaryota; Metazoa; Chordata; Amphibia; Gymnophiona; Dermophiidae. The record is from RNAcentral.